UGCGCGGUGCGGGGUCACGCAGCCCUGCGUGGGCACAGCCCCCCCCUCCGCACGCUGCUUUUCCAAAGGUUUUCCGAGAAUUACCACCCCCCGCCUCGCAGCGAGCACCUCGCCCCAAACCCUUGAAAUUCAGCGCUUUGCUUACCAGCUUAAAAAACUUCCUCAGCCACACGAACCUGAGAAAGGUUUGAAGAUAACAUCAAAGAGUCUCUGCAGCCCCAGAGCCGGACGCAGAGGCAGAAAUGGCUGCCCCCCCCGCAGCAGCUUUCCGUACUACUGCCCCCAGGAGUUUAACUAAAUUAUUUCUGAAUUGAUGUAAGUUCCUGACAUCCAGCAGCAUCCCGUGAGAAAGAACUCUACAGCUGAAGUUUGGGGUUUUUUAAAAAAAAAGUACUUUCUUUUUGUUUGUCACUAUAUUUCUUUUGAUACUCUCUACUGCCUUUAUUUUGAGCAACAACUGAUCUUUCCUGUUCACCUUUUAUGUUACAGUAGCCAUUGCAUAUGCUUCUGUCAUCUUCCUUUCUGCCACUCCUUUCUGAGCCAAUGAAAAAAAAGGAUUUCCUAAUUUAUGUAGUCCUUGGUACAGACACCAUUCAAUACAUUUAUGCACUUUUCUCUCCGCAUUUUACCUUUUAGUUCUGCCAUUCUUUUUUGAGCUGGGGAGACCCCACAUGCAAGAUGGGGACUCACCAUGGACUUCUACAGCAGCACGAGAGAGAUUUUGCUUUGUUCUUUGCUCCUCUUUUGUGGAAGAAAUGAGCAUUUUGGGGGUGGGGUAGGGGGGGCAAGAGUGAUGAGGGAAUAAAUAUUCCCUGUCCCCUGCUGCCUGAGAUGACUGCAGCAUAACCUGCUUCCCCACGGAAUUGUAGAUUUAAUUUAUAUUUAUGAACAUUUUUGAGAUGAUCAAUCUAAUAAUUUUAAUCUGUAUUUCUAUUCACACAUACAUAUAAUCAAUUCACCAUCUAUUUGCUUGAAGGAAAUGAUUCAUUGCAUGAGUUGAAACAGUGGCUCAAUAAAGCAGCAGCCUAGCUUCUGGGAGCUCAUCAUUCAAAGAUUACAGUUUGG
Molecule: non-coding RNA, 1065 nt
Organism: Phalacrocorax carbo (great cormorant)
Lineage: Eukaryota; Metazoa; Chordata; Aves; Suliformes; Phalacrocoracidae
Source: RefSeq, a predicted model, not a curated record